UUUGUGUGUAUGUGUGUGUAUCUAUAUGUAUAUACACACACACACACACACACACACACACACACACACACACACACACA
This 80-nucleotide microRNA precursor is filed under the name Pelodiscus sinensis (Chinese soft-shelled turtle). Its description in RNAcentral is "miRNA (ENSPSIG00000020322.1)". The record is from RNAcentral. Lineage: Eukaryota; Metazoa; Chordata; Testudines; Trionychidae.